Tauraco erythrolophus (red-crested turaco) is the source of this 354-nucleotide non-coding RNA. The record is from the annotation of a RefSeq genome assembly. NCBI's taxonomy places the organism in Eukaryota, Metazoa, Chordata, Aves, Musophagiformes, Musophagidae.
AUGGCCUGGGCCUCUCUCCUCCUCGAGGUGCUCACCCAUGGAUCAGGUUCCCUGGUCCAGGCAGCACUGACUCAGCUGUCCCCGGUGUCAAGGAGCCUGGGACAAACCGUCCAGAUCACCUGCUCCGGGCUUAGCAGCAGCAAUGCUGUUGGCUGGUACCAGCAGAAGGUACCUGGCAAUGGCCCUGUCACUGUGAUCUACCAGAGCGACAAGAGACCCUCGGACAUCCCUUCACGAUUCUCCGGAUCUGCAUCUAGCACCACGGGCACAUUAACCAUCACUGGGGUCCAAGCCGAGGACGAGGCUGUCUAUUACUGUGGUUGCUGGGACAGCAGCAGCUAUGGUGUCUGGUGA